CCUACGGGUGGCAGCAGUGGGGAAUAUUGGGCAAUGGGCGCAAGCCUGACCCAGCAACGCCGCGUGAAGGAAGAAGGCUUUCGGGUUGUAAACUUCUUUUCUGAGGGACGAAGAAAGUGACGGUACCGCAGGAAUAAGCCACGGCUAACUACGUGCCAGCAGCCGCGGUAAUACGUAGGAGGCAAGCGUUAUCCGGAUUUAUUGGGUGUAAAGGGCGUGUAGGCGGGAAAGCAAGUCCGAUGUGAAAACGCCGGGCUCAACUCUGAGCCUGCUUUUGAAACUGUUUUUCUUGAGUGCUGGAGCGGCAAUCGGAAUUCCGUGUGUAGCGGUGAAAUGCGUAGAUAUACGGAGGAACACCAGUGGCGAAGGCGGAUUGCUGGACAGUAACUGACGCUGAGGCGCGAAAGCGUGGGGAGCAAACCGGAUUAGAUACCCGGGUAGUC
RNAcentral lists this ribosomal RNA (443 nucleotides) under uncultured bacterium. RNAcentral describes it as "partial 16S ribosomal RNA". It matches the Rfam family "Bacterial small subunit ribosomal RNA", at positions 338 to 795 of the family's 1533-position model. The record is from RNAcentral.